This 260-nucleotide ribosomal RNA is filed under the name uncultured bacterium. RNAcentral's name for it is "partial 16S ribosomal RNA". It matches the Rfam family "Bacterial small subunit ribosomal RNA", at positions 524 to 779 of the family's 1533-position model. The record is from RNAcentral.
UACGUAGGGGGCUAGCGUUGUCCGGAUUUAUUGGGCGUAAAGAGCGUGUAGGCGGCUUGGCAAGUCUGCUGUGAAAACUCGAGGCUCAACCUCGAGCUGUCGGUGGAAACUGCUUGGCUAGAGUCCGGAAGAGGAGAGUGGAAUUCCUGGUGUAGCGGUGAAAUGCGCAGAUAUCGGGAGGAACACCAGUGGCGAAGGCGGCGAUCUGGGGAAGAUACUGACGCUGAGGAGCGAAAAGCAUGGGGGAGCGAAACAGGGAU